GCAGCAGUAAGGAAUAUUGGUCAAUGGACGCAAGUCUGAACCAGCCAUGCCGCGUGAAGGAUGAAGGUCCUCUGGAUUGUAAACUUCUUUUAUAUGGGAAGAAAUUAUCGGAUUCCUCCGAUAUUGACGGUACCAUAGGAAUAAGCACCGGCUAACUCCGUGCCAGCAGCCGCGGUAAUACGGAGGGUGCAAGCGUUAUCCGGAUUCACUGGGUUUAAAGGGUGCGUAGGAGGGCAGGUAAGUCAGUGGUGAAAUCCUCAAGCUUAACUUGAGAACUGCCGUUGAUACUAUCUGUCUUGAAUACCGUGGAGGUGAGCGGAAUAUGUCAUGUAGCGGUGAAAUGCUUAGAUAUGACAUAGAACACCAAUUGCGAAGGCAGCUCGCUACACGAAUAUUGACUCUGAGGCACGAAAGCGUGGGGAUCAAACAGGAUUAGAUAC
This 440-nucleotide ribosomal RNA is filed under the name uncultured Flavisolibacter sp. RNAcentral's name for it is "bacterial SSU rRNA". It matches the Rfam family "Bacterial small subunit ribosomal RNA", at positions 348 to 785 of the family's 1533-position model. The record is from RNAcentral. Lineage: Bacteria; Pseudomonadati; Bacteroidota; Chitinophagia; Chitinophagales; Chitinophagaceae.